GGAUAUGGCGAAAUUGGUAGACGCUACGGACU
This 32-nucleotide transfer RNA is filed under the name Yucca brevifolia. RNAcentral describes it as "partial tRNA-Leu". The record is from RNAcentral. Lineage: Eukaryota; Viridiplantae; Streptophyta; Magnoliopsida; Asparagales; Asparagaceae.